AUUGUACUCCCUCCGUUCGGAAAUACUUGUCAUAGAAAUGGAUACAGAUGGAUGUAUGUAAAACUAAAAUACAUCUAAAUACGUAUGUAAAACUAAAAUAUAUCUAGAUACAUCAAUUGCUCAGACAAGUAUUUUCGGCCGGAGGGAGUAUAUA
Non-coding RNA from Triticum aestivum (bread wheat), 154 nucleotides. Lineage: Eukaryota; Viridiplantae; Streptophyta; Magnoliopsida; Poales; Poaceae. The record is from Rfam.